This is a non-coding RNA of Nicotiana tabacum (common tobacco), 652 nucleotides long. The record is from RefSeq and is a predicted model, not a curated record. NCBI's taxonomy places the organism in Eukaryota, Viridiplantae, Streptophyta, Magnoliopsida, Solanales, Solanaceae.
AUUUUCCUCCCUUUACCCACCUCAUCUUCUACCAAAAUAAUCAGGAAAAUUUUCCGCCGGAAAAUCCCCCAGAAUUUUCCCUUCUUCUCAAAUGAAGAAAUCAGGAAUUGUGAUUGCUUCUGUAACUGCAGCUUCUGCUACUGCUAUUUCUUCUUCAACUUCUUCUUCUUCUUCUUCUAAAGUUCGAAUUUCUCGUCAUCAGGAUGAUAGUUUGAAGAAGAAGAAGAAGAAUGGAAAUUCUUCAAAGUCAGUGUCAGCACCUGCAUCUUCAGAUAAAUUUGCUCCAAAAUUUGAUGGAUUAAGAUUUAUUGAGACACUGGUUACUGCUCACAGAUAAGUUAAAUUUCGGCGAAUUCUUGAGUUUUUAUAAGGGGCAGUAAAAUUUUUGACGGAUUUAUAGGAAAUAUCAGAGAAAAAAAAUGAAUUUGUAUGAUAAUUACCCAUUUUUCUUGAAUUUUUAUCUUUUUCGUUUUUUAUUUGGGGUUACUGAAUUUUCAUUUCCUGAUUCCUGUUAUGAGUUGUCUGUAUAACUCAAUUAGCCAAUUGAUGACUCUGUAUUGAGGGCUCUGUUUUUCUAGUUCAAUUGUAGAGGAACAGAAAAGUUGAAGGAACAAAAGUAGCUUUUUCCUAUUGAUUUUUGGAUUCUUUUUUA